GACGAACGCUGGCGGCGUGCCUAAUACAUGCAAGUAGAACGCACAGUUUAUACCGUAGCUUGCUACACCAUAGACUGUGAGUUGCGAACGGGUGAGUAACGCGUAGGUAACCUGCCUGGUAGCGGGGGAUAACUAUUGGAAACGAUAGCUAAUACCGCAUAAUAUUAAUUAUUGCAUGAUAAUUAAUUGAAAGGUGCAAUUGCACCACUACCAGAUGGACCUGCGUUGUAUUAGCUAGUAGGUGAGGUAACGGCUCACCUAGGCGACGAUACAUAGCCGACCUGAGAGGGUGGUCGGCCACCCUGGGACUGAGACCCGGCCCCGACUCCUUCGGGAGGCAGCAGUAGGGAAUCUUCGGCAAUGGACGAAAGUCUGACCGAGCAACGCCGCGUGAGUGAAGAAGGUUUUCGGAUCGUAAAGCUCUGUUGUAAGAGAAGAACGGGUGUGAGAGUGGAAAGUUCACACUGUGACGGUAUCUUACCAGAAAGGGACGGCUAACUACGUG
This 505-nucleotide ribosomal RNA is filed under the name uncultured bacterium. Its description in RNAcentral is "partial 16S ribosomal RNA". It matches the Rfam family "Bacterial small subunit ribosomal RNA", at positions 28 to 507 of the family's 1533-position model. The record is from RNAcentral.